ACGGGAGGCAGCAGUGGGGAAUCUUGCGCAAUGCGCGAAAGCGUGACGCAGCAACGCCGCGUGGGGGAAGAAGGCCUUCGGGUUGUAAACCCCUUUCAGUUGGGACGAAGCUUCCGCGGUUAACAGCCGCGUGGAGUGACGGUACCUUCACAAGAAGCCCCGGCUAACUACGUGCCAGCAGCCGCGGUAAUACGUAGGGGGCUAGCGUUGUCCGGAAUCAUUGGGCGUAAAGCGCGUGUAGGCGGCCCGGUAAGUCCGCUGUGAAAGUCGGGGGCUCAACCCUCGAAAGCCGGUGGAUACUGUCGGGCUAGAGUACGGAAGAGGCGAGUGGAAUUCCUGGUGUAGCGGUGAAAUGCGCAGAUAUCAGGAGGAACACCAAUUGCGAAGGCAGCUCGCUGGGACGUCACUGACGCUGAGACGCGAAAGCGUGGGGAGCAAACAGGAUUAGAUACCCUGGUA
RNAcentral lists this ribosomal RNA (459 nucleotides) under uncultured Solirubrobacterales bacterium. Its description in RNAcentral is "bacterial SSU rRNA". It matches the Rfam family "Bacterial small subunit ribosomal RNA", at positions 341 to 792 of the family's 1533-position model. Lineage: Bacteria; Bacillati; Actinomycetota; Thermoleophilia; Solirubrobacterales. The record is from RNAcentral.